AUUGAACGCUGGCGGAAUGCUUUACACAUGCAAGUCGAACGGUAGAGGGGGCAACCCCUUGAGAGUGGCGAACGGGUGAGUAAUAUAUCGGAACGUGCCCAGGUCGUGGGGGAUAACGUAGCGAAGUUACGCUAAUACCGCAUACGAUCUACGGAUGAAAGCGGGGGAUCGCAAGACCUCGCGCGAUUGGAGCGGCCGAUAUCAGAUUAGGUAGUUGGUGGGGUAAAGGCUCACCAAGCCAACGAUCUGUAGCUGGUCUGAGAGGACGACCAGCCACACUGGAACUGAGACACGGUCCAGACUCCUACGGGAGGCAGCAGUGGGGAAUUUUGGACAAUGGACGCAAGUCUGAUCCAGCCAUUCCGCGUGCAGGAUGAAGGCCCUCGGGUUGUAAACUGCUUUUGUACGGAACGAAAAGGUCUCUCUUAAUACGAGGGGCUCAUGACGGUACCGUAAGAAUAAGCACCGGCUAACUACGUG
This 480-nucleotide ribosomal RNA is filed under the name uncultured bacterium. RNAcentral describes it as "bacterial SSU rRNA". It matches the Rfam family "Bacterial small subunit ribosomal RNA", at positions 30 to 507 of the family's 1533-position model. The record is from RNAcentral.